UACCCGGACGUUAGCUAUGAAUUGGUUUGGAAUUCACCAAGAUCGUAUUACUGGCUUGUACCCGGACGUUAGCUAUGAAUUGGUUUGGAAUUCACCAAGAUCGUAUUACUGGCUUGCUACUAGGCGUCGAAUUGGAAUUGAACCAAAUUCACCAAGAUCAUACUACUGCCUUGCUACUAGGCGUCGAAUUGGAAUUGGUUUGGAAUUCACCAAGAUCGUACUACUGCCUUGCUACUAGGCGUCGAAUUGGAAUUGAACCAAAUUCACCAAGAUCAUACUACUGCCUUGCUACUAGGCGUCGAAUUGGAAUUGAACCAAAUUCACCAAGAUCGUACUACUGGCUUGUACCUGGACGUGAAAAUGAAAUCUCGUCUAAAAUGUCACUACUGGCUUGUUACUGAAGCAGUAGCAGUGCAGUAGUGGUCGAAAUGCCCGAUUUGGCCAGUUUUGCUAUCGUAAAUGGAUCUCGAUAGCAGCGCGCACUUUGAAAAAUGCAUUCUUGUACCCAAAUCUAUGCACAGGGCUGCAGUAGUGCCUGCCAGUAGCAGUUUUGAGCCAAAUUCGUCAAGUUGGCCGGAAAUUUUUUUUUGGUGACAAGAUAGCAAAUUGUCUAGAAUGGUUAUAAAAGUGAGUUACAUAGUCCAUAGUGUCGUAUUUAGUGAGAAAACAGCAAAACACGGAUCGGGAAUCGAUCUGUGCACGGAUCAAAGUGCUCGAAAUGGACUGCAGAUAGCAUAUCUAGUCGUCUUAUGCCUAGUCUAGCACAGAAAUAUAGUUUAGUCGCACUCUGCAAACGAUAAUUUGGCAGUUCACUUUUCGAACGGCCCUUAUGCCUGUAAAAAAGUGAACUGCCAAAUACGAUGGAAAAGGCGGCCGUUCCAGAAUCGGCCAUAUUAGCCUGACUAGACUGCAUCCCGUCCGCUCUGCAAAGUUAACCAGGCUCAAGCGUGGGUAGUACUCAGGUGGGUGACCACUGGGGAAGUCCACGUGCUGAUUCUUUUUGCACAUCCAUUUACACAUCCUUGAUUACGAAAUUUUUUACCACAUGGUGUCACACACAGGCUUGUUCGGGGAUCGACUGGCCGGCGGCAAUCGUCGCCGCGAGCUCGACGCAUGCCAAUAUCUCCGCUUCUAGGCCUUCCCGCGCGACGCCACUUGGAGACAACACGUAUAACAUCAAUACAAAACAUAUCCUAGCUUCAUAGCGCGCGCGCCGACUCGGAAUACCCGCAAAUGUCGUACCAGCCUGUCUCAGGAUGGCGGCACAGGCCUCGGCGAGCUCGACAAACCUCCAUAUCUUCACUACCAGGUCGUCCCACGUGACGCCACUUUCGGAGCACCUGUUUAACAUCAUUACAAAGCAUAUCCUAGCUCGGCUGCAUGGGCGCCGAUUCGGAAGACUCACAGACCCGUUUCGUUGAGUCAAUCCCGUAUGCAGCUCAGCAUGCUCGAUUGGUUGAAACUGCACUUGUAGAGAUCGGAUUGACGCCGGGUCGCGCUUGAUUAUCGCGUAUGGCACUAGUACAAGCAUGUGUGCGUCGUCACAAUACGAAAUUGCCGCCUACAGGCCAAAUGCGACGCGAUUUAUCGGUCCCGGACAUCAAAAAAUCACUAAUCGACGAAUAAAAGCGUGUUCCGCCCCGAAUCUUCGCAAGGUCGUUACAUAUAUCGACGCAGCUCAUUACCAGCAACAUGAAGGUGGUCCCCGAUGAAAAACGCUGUUUUCGGUUUUCCGCUUUUUGCUCGAGAUAUUGUAUACCCCGGCUCUCGGCCCGCUCUGCAUCUAGAAAGUACUUUUCACGGCGCAUCUUUUUGGUCUCGACAUCCGAUCGCGUGAAUCGGGCUAAUUUUGACGCUACGACGCCAUUUUGACGUCAUGUAUUUCUGCAAAGUUUCAAAGCUUAGCCAAAUGAAGGUUAGGGCGCUCUCGUGCAGGGUCGUUCUUGCUCUAGGAAGUACUUUUCACGGCGCAUCUUUUUGGUCUUGACACCCGAUCGCUCAAAUCGGACUCCUUCAGGCCCAAAAUGACAUAUAUAGGUUCUGAAAGGUCCGAAAACGGUAUUUUGCCCAUAACUCCUCCAAAAGUUAAUAUUUUCCAACUUCUGAUAGCAUUUUUGGAUUCCCCGUGAAAUUUUACAUCUAGAUGCAUGACGAUCUCGCAUCCACGAGCAACUUGGUUUGGCGAACUAGACAUCGGCCAACAAAGUGGCGACUCGAUAAUACGACGUAACUAGUCGACCAUCCAGAAAGUGACUCCGCGAAGGCUUGAAACAUGAAAAGAUGCGCCUUAAAAAGUUAUGCAGCCUGUGCAGUCGUGGCGCGCUCAAAGCUUUCUGGUUGCCGAGAUACGAGCAUUUCCGUUUUGGGCCAUUUAGGGCCAACCGCUCGACAAACCUUCGAUAUCUGAUGAACGAUAAGGUUUCAGAGUCCAGGAACUAGUCAGUUGACUUCCCCUCGUCAAUACAAGAAUCGAGUGAAAAAAAAAUUUUCCGUCGAGGAGUAUCGAAUUUCACCAAGUGCCCGCCCAUACUGAAGCCAAGUCUAAUCUGCGGGCGAGAAUUCUUGGUGAAUUUUUCCAUCACUGUUUUACCUCGUACUUUGUGCCUGUAGCGUGUUUUGUAGUGUUUCUACCAUUUGGGAACGUGUAGCUUUGU
This is a ribosomal RNA of Saprolegnia parasitica CBS 223.65, 2654 nucleotides long. Lineage: Eukaryota; Oomycota; Saprolegniomycetes; Saprolegniales; Saprolegniaceae. The record is from RefSeq and is a predicted model, not a curated record.